GGCAGGGGCCUGCAUUCCAGCCCACAGGGUCCAGCAGCAUUUCUUGCAGAUGCAGAAGCAGCAGGUGAGAAGCAGGAGCCCAGCAACCACAGCAAUGGCGAUCAGUGCCCAGGGUGGUACUGCCCACACAGAGAAGAUCCCAGGGUCAGCAGUGCCAUGCCUUGCAGCCCCUGACCCCGUAGCAUUGGGAAAAAUGGGUGAGGAAUAUGACUGCCAUCCCACAAUGCCCACACCCCACAUUUUAAAAGCCACACACCCAUG
RNAcentral lists this long non-coding RNA (261 nucleotides) under Homo sapiens (human). RNAcentral's name for it is "HSALNT0020102". The record is from RNAcentral. Lineage: Eukaryota; Metazoa; Chordata; Mammalia; Primates; Hominidae.